Molecule: ribosomal RNA, 253 nt
Filed under: uncultured bacterium
Lineage: Bacteria
Description: partial 16S ribosomal RNA
Rfam family: Bacterial small subunit ribosomal RNA
Source: RNAcentral
UACGUAGGUGGCAAGCGUUGUUCGGAAUUAUUGGGCGUAAAGGGCGCGUAGGCGGUUUGUUAAGUCAGUUGUGAAAGCCCGGGGCUCAACCCCGGAGGGUCGACUGAUACUGGCGGACUAGAGUACGGAAGAGGUAGCUGGAAUUCCCGGUGUAGCGGUGAAAUGCGUAGAUAUCUGGAGGAACACCGGUGGCGAAGGCGGCAUCCUGGACCAACACUGACGCUGAGGAGCGAAAGCCAGGGGAGCAAACGGG